GAUGAACGCUGACGGCGUGCCUAAUACAUGCAAGUCGAGCGAACGGACGAGAAGCUUGCUUCUCUGAUGUUAGCGGCGGACGGGUGAGUAACACGUGGAUAACCUACCUAUAAGACUGGGAUAACUUCGGGAAACCGGAGCUAAUACCGGAUAAUAUUUUGAACCGCAUGGUUCAAAAGUGAAAGACGGUCUUGCUGUCACUUAUAGAUGGAUCCGCGCUGCAUUAGCUAGUUGGUAAGGUAACGGCUUACCAAGGCAACGAUGCAUAGCCGACCUGAGAGGGUGAUCGGCCACACUGGAACUGAGACACGGUCCAGACUCCUACGGGAGGCAGCAGUAGGGAAUCUUCCGCAAUGGGCGAAAGCCUGACGGAGCAACGCCGCGUGAGUGAUGAAGGUCUUCGGAUCGUAAAACUCUGUUAUUAGGGAAGAACAUAUGUGUAAGUAACUGUGCACAUCUGGACGGUACCUAAUCAGAAAGCCACGGCUAACUACGU
This 496-nucleotide ribosomal RNA is filed under the name uncultured bacterium. RNAcentral's name for it is "partial 16S ribosomal RNA". It matches the Rfam family "Bacterial small subunit ribosomal RNA", at positions 28 to 506 of the family's 1533-position model. The record is from RNAcentral.